This 72-nucleotide transfer RNA is filed under the name Camelus bactrianus (Bactrian camel). It matches the Rfam family "tRNA". Rfam says of the family: Transfer RNA (tRNA) molecules are approximately 80 nucleotides in length. Their secondary structure includes four short double-helical elements and three loops (D, anti-codon, and T loops). RNAcentral also lists the same sequence under 2 other names. Lineage: Eukaryota; Metazoa; Chordata; Mammalia; Artiodactyla; Camelidae. The record is from Rfam by way of RNAcentral.
GAGGGUAUAGCUCAGUGGUAGAGGGCAUGCCUAGCAUGCACAAGAUCCUGGGUUCAAUCCCCAGUAUCUCCA